UAAAAGCAUGUAUCAUCUUCAUUAUCAUCUAGAGACAUUGACCAAAACGACAAGACCUUGUUCAAGAACAAUAUACAAUGGUUCCAAAACUUCAAUCUAACAGUGGCCUGUUUAUCAUCAGCAUCACUGCCCGAUGCAACAUCAGGGCAACAGGCCAACCAUUCAACAAAAACAAGAAUGCCAGGUAAGAGAUAACUUGUAGAAGGAUCACGCAGCUGCACAAACCUCUCUAACACGUGUCCCAUUAACUCAAAAACUGCAGUAAGUGCAUUCUGUAGUAGAACAGUACGCUGUACAAUUUCUGCAUAUGUCUGACCCUCGGCCUCUCUUUUCACAUUGUGAACUGUGAAUAU
This 353-nucleotide unclassified non-coding RNA is filed under the name Hevea brasiliensis (rubber tree). The record is from RNAcentral. Lineage: Eukaryota; Viridiplantae; Streptophyta; Magnoliopsida; Malpighiales; Euphorbiaceae.